UGGGAAAUUUUGGACAAUGGGCGCAAGCCUGAUCCAGCAAUGCCGCGUGCAGGAUGAAGGUCUCCGGGUUGUAAACUGCUUUUGUACGGAACGAAAAGGCUCUGGUUAAUGCCUGGGGCUCAUGACGGUACCGUAAGAAUAAGCACCGGCUAACUACGUGCCAGCAGCCGCGGUAAUACGUAGGGUGCAAGCGUUAAUCGGAAUUACUGGGCGUAAAGCGUGCGCAGGCGGUUAUGUAAGACAGAUGUGAAAUCCCCGGGCUCAACCUGGGACCUGCAUUUGUGACUGCAUAGCUAGAGUACGGCAGAGGGGGAUGGAAUUCCGCGUGUAGCAGUGAAAUGCGUAGAUAUGCGGAGGAACACCGAUGGCGAAGGCAAUCCCCUGGGCCUGCACUGACGCUCAUGCACGAAAGCGUGGGGAGCAAACA
Molecule: ribosomal RNA, 427 nt
Filed under: uncultured bacterium
Lineage: Bacteria
Description: bacterial SSU rRNA
Rfam family: Bacterial small subunit ribosomal RNA
Source: RNAcentral